Tribolium castaneum (red flour beetle) is the source of this 464-nucleotide long non-coding RNA. RefSeq lists it as uncharacterized. The transcript is spliced from 2 exons. The record is from RefSeq and is a predicted model, not a curated record. Lineage: Eukaryota; Metazoa; Arthropoda; Insecta; Coleoptera; Tenebrionidae.
UGUUACUUCUUUUGAUGAUAAUACUAUUAGGCCACGUGUGGGCACAGCACCCUGAGACGGGCCACAACAUUUUGUUUUUGCAACCCGAUUUAGUGAAAUUGUUUCGUGGAACGAAUUUAAUGACCAGGGUCAUUAGGAAUUUCGAGAAUACUGAGAAAAAGUUAGCGCAGGUGGCUGUGAAAAACUUCACUUAGGCCUCUAAUCCACUUAUCACUUACUGGGGAUUAAGGGAAAGUUAGGGUUGGUGGUUGAAAUUCCGUGGUUUAAUCCUCUUGUUAUUUAUUUAGAAAAGUGUUUGAAUAAUUUAACAAAUGUGAGAGGUGUAACUUGUCGUUUGAUUUUCGAAUCGAUAUGAAACGAAUAACGAUUGUUGAAUAAAUUAUGUAAGAAGGCUGGUAAUUACGCCGGUAUUUACCUUUUUGAUUGUGAGAAUUGUUGUAAUUUAAAUAAAAUUUUACGAAUUA